UUGCCCUAGUAACGGCGAGUGAAGCGGCAACAGCUCAAAUUUGAAAUCUGGCUCUUUCAGAGUCCGAGUUGUAAUUUGCAGAGGGCGCUUUGGUGUUGGCAGCGGUCCAAGUUCCUUGGAACAGGACGUCACAGAGGGUGAGAAUCCCGUACGUGGUCGCUAGCCUUCGCCGUGUAAAGCCCCUUCGACGAGUCGAGUUGUUUGGGAAUGCAGCUCUAAAUGGGAGGUAAAUUUCUUCUAAAGCUAAAUACUGGCCAGAGACCGAUAGCGCACAAGUAGAGUGAUCGAAAGAUGAAAAGCACUUUGGAAAGAGAGUCAAAUAGCACGUGAAAUUGUUGAAAGGGAAGCGCUUGCAGCCAGACUUGCCUGUAGUUGCUUAUCCGGACUUUUGUCCGGUGCACUCUUCUGCGGGCAGGCCAGCAUCAGUUUGGGCGGUUGGAUAAAGGUCUCUGUCAUGUACCUCUCUUCGGGGAGAACUUAUAGGGGAGACGACAUGCAACCAGCCUGGACUGAGGUCCGCGCAUCUGCUAGGAUGCUGGCGUAAUGGCUGUAAGCGGCCCGUCUUGAAACACGGACCAAGGAGUCUAACAUCUAUGCGAGUGUUUGGGUGUCAAGCCCAGACGCGUAAUGAAAGUGAACGGAGGUGGGAACCCUUUGGGUGCACCAUCGACCGAUCCUGAUGUCUUCGGAUGGAUUUGAGUAAGAGCAUGGCUGUUGGGACCCGAAAGAUGGUGAACUAUGCUUGAAUAGGGUGAAGCCAGAGGAAACUCUGGUGGAGGCUCGCAGCGGUUCUGACGUGCAAAUCGAUCGUCAAAUUUGGGCAUAGGGGCGAAAGACUAAUCG
This 843-nucleotide ribosomal RNA is filed under the name Paraphoma vinacea. Its description in RNAcentral is "partial large subunit ribosomal RNA". It matches the Rfam family "Eukaryotic large subunit ribosomal RNA", at positions 75 to 937 of the family's 3401-position model. The record is from RNAcentral. Lineage: Eukaryota; Fungi; Ascomycota; Dothideomycetes; Pleosporales; Phaeosphaeriaceae.